UCAAAACAGCGGCCUUCGGGCCUCGCUGCACCCUUGUCUUUUGCGCACCGUAUUGUUUCCUCGGCGGGCUUGCCUGCCGGUUGGACAUCAUAAAACUUUUUUGUAGUUGCAAUCAGCGUCAGAAAAACAAUAAUUAUUA
RNAcentral lists this unclassified non-coding RNA (139 nucleotides) under soil metagenome. Its description in RNAcentral is "partial internal transcribed spacer 1". The record is from RNAcentral.